CUUAUGUUAGCAAAACAAUGCAGUUGAUUUAAGAACAAAAGAAGAAAGGAAAUUUCACAUAAGU
Molecule: transfer RNA, 64 nt
Filed under: Aphrodita australis
Lineage: Eukaryota; Metazoa; Annelida; Polychaeta; Phyllodocida; Aphroditidae
Description: tRNA-Leu
Source: RNAcentral